Molecule: ribosomal RNA, 720 nt
Filed under: uncultured bacterium
Lineage: Bacteria
Description: bacterial SSU rRNA
Rfam family: Bacterial small subunit ribosomal RNA
Source: RNAcentral
CAGGGGUACAACCCUCCGAAAGGGGGGCUGAUACCGCGUACAUCCCCUGGGGGCAUCCCCGGGGGAGGAAAGCCCUUUUGGGCGGGCGGGGAUGGGCAUGCGGCGCAUUAGGAAGACGGCGGUGUGACGGACCACCGUUCCGACGAUGCGUAGGGGUUCUGAGAGGAAGGCCCCCCACACUGGUACUGAGACACGGACCAGACUCCUACGGGAGGCAGCAGUGAGGAAUAUUGGUCAAUGGCCGGAAGGCUGAACCAGCCAAGCCGCGUGAGGGAGGAAGGCGCAGAGCGUCGCAGACCUCUUUUGCCGGGGGACAAAAGGCCGGACUCGUCCGGUCCUGAGGGUACCCGGAGAAAAAGCAUCGGCUAACUCCGUGCCAGCAGCCGCGGUAAUACGGAGGAUGCGAGCGUUAUCCGGAUUCAUUGGGUUUAAAGGGUGCGCAGGCGGGCCUUUAAGCCGGCGGUGAAAUCGCGGGGCUCAACCCCGCCGAGCCGUCGGAACUGGGGGCCUUGAGUGCGGCGGAGGCAUGCGGAAUGCGCGGUGUAGCGGUGAAAUGCAUAGAUAUCGCGCAGAACCCCGAUUGCGGAGGCAGCGUGCCGUGCCGCCACUGACGCUGAGGCACGAAAGCGCGGGGAUCGAACAGGAUUAGAUACCCUGGUAGUCCGCGCCGUAAACGAUGGAUGCUGGGUGUCCGGGGCGUUCAGGCCCUGGGUGCCGGAG